RNAcentral lists this ribosomal RNA (253 nucleotides) under uncultured bacterium. RNAcentral's name for it is "partial 16S ribosomal RNA". It matches the Rfam family "Bacterial small subunit ribosomal RNA", at positions 524 to 776 of the family's 1533-position model. The record is from RNAcentral.
UACGUAGGGGCCAAGCGUUGUCCGGAUUUAUUGGGCGUAAAGAGCUCGUAGGCGGUUUGUCGCGUCUGCUGUGAAAACCUAAGGCUCAACCUUGGGCUUGCAGUGGGUACGGGCAGACUAGAGUGCGGUAGGGGUGACUGGAAUUCCUGGUGUAGCGGUGGAAUGCGCAGAUAUCAGGAGGAACACCGAUGGCGAAGGCAGGUCACUGGGCCGCAACUGACGCUGAGGAGCGAAAGCAUGGGGAGCGAACAGG